UUCGUAGGCGGUGCGGCAAGUCGGGAGUGAAAUCUCUGGGCUUAACUCAGAGGCUGCUUCCGAAACUGCCGUGCUUGAGUGUGGGAGAGGCGCGUGGAAUUGCAGGUGUAGCGGUGAAAUGCGUAGAUAUCUGCAGGAACACCCGUGGCGAAAGCGGCGCGCUGGACCACAACUGACGCUGAGGAACGAAAGCUAGGGGAGCAAACAGGAUUAGAUACCCUGGUAGUCCUAGCCCUAAACGAUCAGGACUUGGGGUGCCGCCCGUUCGGGCGUCGUCCCGGAGCUAACGCGUUAAGUCCUGCACCUGGGGAGUACGGUCGCAAGACUGAA
RNAcentral lists this ribosomal RNA (330 nucleotides) under uncultured bacterium. RNAcentral describes it as "bacterial SSU rRNA". It matches the Rfam family "Bacterial small subunit ribosomal RNA", at positions 568 to 898 of the family's 1533-position model. The record is from RNAcentral.